This 863-nucleotide ribosomal RNA is filed under the name uncultured archaeon. RNAcentral describes it as "bacterial SSU rRNA". It matches the Rfam family "Archaeal small subunit ribosomal RNA", at positions 19 to 859 of the family's 1478-position model. The record is from RNAcentral.
GGCCCCCACUUCUUACGGGGAGGGAAUAAGGCAUGCAAGUUGUGUCUCAAAACUAUGUGAAGACACGGCGGACCGCUCAGUAACAAGGUGGUAACCCGCCCUCGGGGACGGGGAUAACCCGGGAAACUUGGGUAAAUACCCGAUAGGUGAGAAAGUCUGGAAAGGUUUCUCACCCAAAAGUUGCGGGAACCAUGCUUCCAGCAGCGCACGAGGAUGGGGGCUGCGGCCGAUCAGGUAGUUGGUGAGGUAACGGCUCACCAAGCCUAUAACCGGUACGGGCCGUGAGAGCGGGAGCCAGGAGAUGGGCACUGAGACAAGGGCCCAGGCCCUACGGGGCGCAGCAGCUACGAAAAACUCCGCAAUGCGCGCAAGCGCGACGGGGCUACCCCGAGUGCUGUCCGCUGAGGAUAGCUUUUCUCUGGUGUAAUGAGCCGGAGGAAUAAGGGGAGGGCAAGCCUGGUGUCAGCCGCCGCGGUAACACCAGCUCCCCGAGUGGUGGGGAUGAUUAUUGGGCCUAAAGCGUCCGUAGCCGGCUCGGCAAGUCUUCCGUUAAAUCCAACGAUCUAAUCGUUGGACUGCGGGAGAUACUGCGGAGCCAGGGGGCGGGAGAAGCCGACGGUACUCGUGGGGUAGGGGUGAAAUCCUAUAAUCCUAGGAGGACCACCAGUGGCGAAGGCGGUCGGCUAGAACGCGCCCGACGGUGAGGGACGAAAGCUGGGGGAGCGAUCCGGAUUAGAUACCCGGGUAGUCCCAGCUGUAAACGAUGCAGGCUAGGUGUUGGAGUGACCACGAGUCACACCGGUGCCGCAGGGAAGCCGUUAAGCCUGCCGCCUGGGAAGUACGGUCGCAAGACUGAAACUUAA